GGGUGGCUUACAGUGUGGCACUGCAGGUGGCUGGCUGUGCUCCUGACUACACUGUGCUCUGUUGGGAAAGCUGAAUUUUUGUCCCAUAGUAAGACUCUGAUUUCUGCAAGAUGAGGGUAGCUGGCUCCAAAAUGGGGUUGACUUUUCUCCUUUCUUUUUCCCUUUCUUUUUCCUUGCCACUCACUUUUUUUUGAUCUGGUGUUAGACCUCUUCAGUGAGUUUCAACUCACUUUUUCUCACAUUUCAACUUUUUCUGCUGCAUUUCUGCUCAGCAGAAGAGAGCCAGUAUAGCAGAGUCAUUAACCUGGUUCGGCUACUACAGCCUUUUAACCCAUCAAAAGGGUAAAGCAGAUUGAGACCCUUCUGAAUAAUUUGCAGAUGAAUUGGUUGCCUCCAGAACCAUUUACCAGCUUUUGGGAGAUUGGUUCAGUGCUACCAGGAACAAAAUUUGGCCUUGAACUUAAGAAAGAGGCAGAGUGCCAAAGCACAGGCCUGCACGCAGUCUGCACCAAUGUCAGUGCAGGCUUUCCCAUGUGGCCUUCUCAUGACACCAAACCAAGAGUCAGAUAUGGGGAUAAGACAUGAAUGUUACUGGAUGGAUCUGUAUGCAAUGUGCACAGUACAUGCACUUGGAUCUGUUCAUGUGAUUGCACAUUUAGCUGGACAGAGCUGUGGGCACUUGGACAGCUUCAGCUCUAUUGUAUUAGUCAUUCAUGCAUGAUAUUGUGGGUUUGCACAAUGCAUGUGUAUUCAUGCAGGUAGUUCAGCAGAUUCAGCAGGAACUGAAGUCUCUGAUAUCUGGCUGUUGCAAACUGCCUGUUUCAAAUAUAUAUUUAUACAACUAAGUGUAUUUUUAAAUGCAGGAGAAUGAAAUACUGUUGUGAACUACAUUGUAGACUAAAUUACAAGGGAUAUCUAAAAUAACAGCACAUACCUUGGUCAUUUGCAUAGUGCAAUAAUUCUAUUUAGCAGCAUCCAGGCUAUUGAUAUAUAGGACAAUCUAAGAAUGGAAUCAGUGUCCCUGUUGAACAUUCUCCUUCAUGAAGAAUAUCAACUUUUUCAAACUGUUUAGUGGGGUUUUUUUUUAGAAGCUGCUGUUAACUGGUAUUCAGUCUACAGCAUAGUUGCCCUCUUAGAAAGCUGUGUAGAGAAUGAGAUGCAAGCAACAGAUGUUUGUGACCAGAUCUUGUUCUGCUGUUUGUGCAAGCAGUGUGGGGUGGAUGAUGGGGAUCAGGAAUUGGCAUCGCUAGGUUAAUGGUUGGACUCAAUGAUCUUAAAGGUUUUUUCCAACCUAAACAAUUCUAUGAGUCUAAGAGCAGGUGUUGUGUCACUCUAGAGCCUGGGCUGCCCUAAGGACUGAAACAGCCUUAAAGGAAACUGAGAUUCCUGUUGCACUAGGUUUUCUCUCUCAUAUUUCCCCUUUCUUGUCACCCUGUGCAAGUACAUCCCAUAAGUGCAUUGACUGACCUGACUAGCACAUGUGGUGCAUGGGUUGAUCAUUCCUUCCAACAAUAAGCUGCAACUGACUGUGAUAACUGACUGGUCUUCCCCAUCCCUAACAUUCCUGUCGUCUCACUGUCCCUGACCCUCUAAUAUUCCCCUCUCCGAGUGUCUGCACCAUGGGGCGAGGGGACCACAGGAUGGCUCUUGGCUGAGAGCUCCCUCCCUGCCUAUCAAGUGACCUUGUGCUUUGGGGAUAACGCGCUCAGGGCGGACCGCCUCGUGUUGGGAACGUGGGGUUUGUGGGAUACUGCAUGCGAGCACUUUGGAGGCUCGCAUCUUUCAUUCUGAAAGCAUUCUCAGUCUCUGUUCUCUUAUACUCUUUGUGAGAAAGCUUCCAAAUAGUGAAAUUAGAUGAAAUUCACUCCUGUGUAGAGGAUCAGGCCCAUAUCUGUGCACUGUUUGGUCUUCCACUGACAUCCUUAAAACAGGACUGAGAUGACUGGUCCUCAACAGUACGUAACUUUUGGGCUUACUCCAUCAUGGAAAUCAGUUCAUCUCAGGUGGUGCGGCCAACAGGGCAUCGUGACCCCCCUGACUCCCUGAACUCCCAGAGGCAGUGUGAAUGUGUGGGAAGGAGAAGAACUUACAGGACACAGAAAUGUCAUUUGAUUUGCCUGAUAUGAGCCAAUUCAUGCCUCUGAGUUAGGGUAGAAGACUCAGCUGUCCACUAUGAAAUGUGGUGGGAAGUGGGUCUGCAUUUCUUAAAGAGUGUACUUUGCUAAACAUUAGUGUGAAGAGAUGACUGCUUUGCUGUCCUUGUUCUUAAGAGAGAAGAUGUAUUUUCUUUCUGUGCAUUCAUGUGUGUGCUGAAUCUGCACUCUCAGUGCUGAGGAGGAGUGUAGAGAGAAGGCAUGAAGUAUGGCUAUAUGCCUAGCCAAGAAAAUUGAACUGUACUUUCUGGUGAUGGUCUCCAUGUGCUGAGAUGCGCCUUGAUGGUUGGGGACAGUACCGCAUCAGAUGGUGUUUCCCGGCACAUCUGUUGGCUCUCUGCAGAGCCAACUUGGGUGUCACUAUAGCUCUCUCCAGAAACCAAGACUCUGGGGACACCUUGUCAAGGACAACUCUAUCAGCCACGCAUCUGAAAGCCAAGAAGGGGGAAGGCCCUGAGCACAACUAAAUGGUGGUGCUUUCCCCGUGGGCACCAUACGAUGGACGCAUGAGUCUGCACUGUAUCUCCUCAAGGGUUUUGGAAAGCUAAGCGCCACCGGGGACAUCACAACUCCACCUCUUCAUCAGCAGCGUAACUUCAGCUGGCGAUGGAGUGGCCCUUCUGAGGACAAGUUGGGUUUCUCUGAGCCCCCCAGCAAGUUGCAUGGUUGCACUGCUUCCAGCUCCAUUUGUGCAAACCAGGUGCCAGCCCACGCCUCCCCACUCUCUGUCUGAGGCUCUAUGAAGCUCUGCUGAAGCUCUCCUCCAGCACCUUGACCCUUCCUGAGAGCAGCAGAGGGGCAUUUACAGCAGUAAUGCUGGAAAGAUAAAAAGUCCACAGCUUAGAGACACCUGUGAGCUUGUUGAACAGUUUUAACACUAGCCAUUCACUGAAACAAGUUCAAAGCAGUGGUGAUGUCUAGAGCUUUAUUCCUAAUCUGUUGGGGGAAAAAAUCGCUUUGGCACAAAAUUUGCUUGUUACAUGAACUGAUGGGUUUUAACAUAGUCUGUACAGUCUCUGUCUCAAGCAAGGAAUUUAUUUCCUCUGUUUUCUCACUGAAUUAGUUAAUGUUAGUUGGUAAUACAGACAAAAUUCUGUUUGUUUUAUUAUACAAAUACUGUUAAGUGAGUUGUCUGUCCAUUGGAAUUGGAGUUAUUGUUUCAAAGGGAUCAGGAUGCUUUUGCCUGGUCUUUUAUUCUUGUGGUCAGCAUUCAUUAUGCAGCAGCCACUAGUAUCUGAAAAGAGCACUACCUUUUCAAAUUUCAAUUUGACCUUUUGUAAUUAAUAGAGGUUUCAUUCACAGUGUUUAUAGAAACUGGUGAAGUAGAUGCUAUCAUUGAAAUUCAGGGGGAUAGAGUUUCAUGGGAAUGAGAAGAACUGUUUAGCUCUUUCACAGUGCUUUGGGAAUCCGCCUUUGCAGUUUUUUGGUUACUACUCUUUUAUACAGUCCAUAUGUGUCAAAAAAAUAACGAAACAGCCAAGUGAGGGGAAAAGAAUGAAGUUUUGGACAAUUACACUGUAUUAUUAUUAUGCUAGAAAACUAAACUCUUUAAUUUUACAGAUAUUAUCUUUGCCAUUUCAGCUGUUAUUUUUGUGAACAAAACCAACUUUCUAACAUUCGAAUUUGAUCUACUUUCUGAAGGCUGUAAUCUUGCCAAGACUGCCCUCCUUACCAUUAUAGCAUGUCUCAACUAGCCUGAAUCAUGUGUAGCCUUAAGUCUGGUUUACCCUACACUGUCUCUGCCAGAAUUCCUCCUUUUCUUUUACUAUCACGCAUUAAUACUCUUAGCCUAUGUCACAUUUCCAGCCUGAAAACAAGCUAAAGCAGGAGACACAUUUCAGCCUAUGUAUCUUCAGCAGUAUCUAUACUUCGCAUUAGAAUGCAUAUAGCUGAAGCGAGGCAAUAGUAACUGGCUUCAAACUGAUCUUGGUAACUUCUGUGAAGGAAGACAAACACCCAUAGCAGGGGGUUUGGAAACAGAUGAUCCUUAAGAUCCCCUCCAGCCCAAACCAUUCUAUGCUUCUAUGAAGACAAAUCUUCUAGUAGCUCUGAGGCUGAAGGUGCAAUGAAUGAUGACUGCAGUGUAAAUCACUCUGUGGAGAACUUCUUUGUUUUCUGCAUGGUGCUUGUAGUUGAGAUCUUGCAAGCUUUGCCUUCCGUGAGAGCUUUGUCUAUAAGUGUUUUUCCAGACUGGGUUCUUCUGCACAAGGCUGGGUGUAUGGAUGUGAAAUGCAGGUGCAGAAAUACCCAGAGCAUUCAAUGCUGUGCAGACGAAAUGUGACAUGAAACCUCUUAAUGGAGUCAGAAAGAUGUCAGGGGAAGAAGUGGUGAGAACCUGAUUUUGCUCCUGUUUAUGGCUUUGCCUGCUAGCUGAGUGGUGCUGCCACUGGAGAGGAUUUGGUGCCAGUUCUGCAGAGCACUGAGGGAAAUGCAUGCCUGUGCUGCCUGCCUCCACCUAGCUCGGGCUGUGAACAGGCUAAGCUGUAAGCACAUGACUAUCCCCUCCAGAACAAAUGGGUCUGAAUUGCGCAGGGAAGGACAUCGCUUGGACAUGGUUGCAUUGUUAGUGCUUGUUUUUGUCCGUGUGACCCAUCUACCUCAGGGUCAUAUUGAGACCUGUUAGGGAAGACCAAAUAUUCAAGACUGGAAGUAAAAGAAGGGGCAGAAUAUCUAAAUGUUAUGAAGGUAGUGAAAAGGCAGUGGGAAAGCCUGGCAAUCAUAAUGGAAGUUUCUGUCUUUUUUUCUAAAGAAGGCAAGCAUAAUCCUUAUCCUUUAAUAUCCUACUUUGUUUUACACUGGAAUUAGAAAAUCUUUUCCAUUUGUUUUAAUUAUCUGCUGGCUUUAACUCUGCCUUUGAAAAGCAUUUUUGCUAUGACAACCCUUGGUCUCAUAGUAAGCAGCGCUACGGAGAGACAGCUAAAGUAAGACUUUUAUCUUUCCUUGCAUGCAGUGUUUACUCUUUCUAAUCUUUUAAUGUGACUGUGUUUUCUCCUAUUUUGUAAACUGAUUAGCAGUGUUUCUUCAAAAAAAGUGGUUGAAAAACAUAUUUUGCUUAAACGGAACCAAAUUUCCAUCUAACAAUGUGAAUUCUCUUAAGUGACCAAUUCAUUCCAAAGUUAAACCUCUUGCUAAGGCUAACUUCCAGUCACUGACUUUAAUGGCAACUCAACUUUUUUAAGAGCAGUUUGUAAAAAAGUAGGUUUUGUUAAUGCUUUUGGUUUGUUUUAUAAUAAAAAGAUUCACUGUCUUGCCAAAUAAAAUAAUAGUAAUAAUAUUAAUAAUAAUAAUUCUAUGCAUUGUGUGAUUCAGUGAUGUUGCUGUUGAAAUUUUGCAUGUUUUCGAGAUGUUCUGACACUUGUAUGUUCUGUGGUACUUGUAAAAAUGCUAACCAUUGCUGCUAUAAUCACCACCAUUGUAGGUAAAUGAAAACACUACUAAGAAACUGUGCCAGUUAGCGGGGUUUUUUGUGUGUCAUGGUAAUACUCUGCAUUCUGCUGUUCAUUUCCUGUUUUAAGCCAGUAUUUAGUGCCUUCUGUAGAAGGAAUCAAUAUGUUGUGGUAGACAGGAGGUGCCAAACUUCUAAUAUCUUGUUCUGCACAGAUGAUUACUUACCAUCUUGAAGCUUAAAUAAAAAAGAAACAGAAAGGAAAAAGGAAAAAAAAAACCACCAACUUGAACUCUCCAUCUUUCUUUAAAGAAGUAUCUUCUCAUUAAUUGUCAUUUGGGGAAAAAACCCUUUAAUAGUGCUGAAAAGAAGCCAUUUUCCCCAGCUAUGCCUCCUGCAGCAGCAGUCUGCCAACUGUGAAUGUGAGGGGUAUGAGGGAAUGCGCAGUACCCAAAUGUUCUUGUUGGUAACGGAUCCAGUGAUUAGCCAGGGCUGCUCAAGUCAUUGCAGAGCAUGCUAAAAUGGCAUGUAAUGAAAGCAACCCUCUGAUUACCAUCAGAAGCUGUUAGCUCUCAUAACACUUGUGAGCUUGCUCUUGUAAACAAGCAUCAGCCUGGUCAAGUGGUGGAUUCCAGUCCCUGUUCUGCCUCCACUGAAGCCACACAUUGCUGCCAAAUGAGACUUGGAUGAAAUUCAAGCCCAAGAUUUUUGGUCUCGUUCUUUCCAACUGCUUUCAUGGCAGACAAGCCUUGUUUAUCAAAAUUCUGACAUUGCAUUUUCAGUUCCUCUUGCACCCUCUGCUUAGAAUCUGGCAGUAUAGCAAACACGCACACCAUACACACUCAUUGUGAUUUUGAUGAGAUUUUGACAGGCUGAAAUUGUACACACUGUAAUCAUACAACAGAAACAGGCAGGAGGGAAAUGCGAGAUGUUCAUCUGUGUAGUGCAUUUCCCAGCCACCAGGCAUGGUCCAAUAAAUCUAGGCUGGUCUUUAAUAUUUUGUGUGGAAAAGAGAAAAGGCUAACCAUCGCUCUUACAUCUUUACUGAGCGAUGAAAGCCUGUUACAUAUCUUGAAAAGACUUUUCAAAUCAGAAUACUAAGUCACCAGAAAAACUCUGUGAUUGGGAAAAUAAGAGCGCAUUAAAUUCAUCCUUACAGGUACUGGUCUAAAGUGCUGUCUGUUCCCAUCUCUUGGAGGGAAUGGGGUUCCCUUCAGAAAUACUAGCUCCUUUUACUGUCCAUUAAAAAUUUAUAGCUUCUUCAGGUUCCUUCUGCCAGAGCAGAUACCAGCUGAGACCAGUUGCAAUGUGUUUGUCCAUUGUUUUGCUUGUCUAACAUUAAAGAUGUUAAAUAUGUAAAUAAGCAUUGAUACCUGGUCUUAUUUCAUGCAUUUCUUCCAUUUAUAGCUAGAUUUGCGUCUCCAUGGUCCCACCAAUUCCACUCAUUGUCAUGCCAAUUGGUCUUCAUAGCUGAUUUUAUGUGUUGGUCCAACUUAAAAAAAAGAAAAAA
Molecule: long non-coding RNA, 7048 nt
Organism: Strigops habroptila (Kakapo)
Lineage: Eukaryota; Metazoa; Chordata; Aves; Psittaciformes; Psittacidae
Source: Ensembl